RNAcentral lists this ribosomal RNA (441 nucleotides) under uncultured bacterium. Its description in RNAcentral is "partial 16S ribosomal RNA". It matches the Rfam family "Bacterial small subunit ribosomal RNA", at positions 338 to 795 of the family's 1533-position model. The record is from RNAcentral.
CCUACGGGUGGCAGCAGUGGGGAAUAUUGCACAAUGGGGGAAACUCUGAUGCAGCAACGCCGCGUGAAGGAAGACGGUUUUCGGAUCGUAAACCUCUGUUCUUAGUGAAGAAUAAUGACGGUAGCUAAGGAGCAAGCCACGGCUAACUACGUGCCAGCAGCCGCGGUAAGCUGUAGGUGGCAAGCGUUGUCCGGACUUACUGGGUGUAAAGGGAGCGCAGGCGUUAAGCCAAGUCAGCUGUGAAAACUACGGGCUUAACUUGUUGGCGGCAGUGGAACCUGGUUGUCUUGAGUGAAGUAGAGGUUAGCGGAAUUCCGAGUGUAGCGGUGAAAUGCGUAGAUAUUCGGAGGAACACCAGUGGCGAAGGCGGCCAACUGGGCUUUAACUGACGCUGAGGCUCGAAAGUGUGGGGAGCAAACAGGAGUAGAUACCCGGGUAGUC